This is a long non-coding RNA of Quercus robur (English oak), 1066 nucleotides long. RefSeq lists it as uncharacterized. NCBI's taxonomy places the organism in Eukaryota, Viridiplantae, Streptophyta, Magnoliopsida, Fagales, Fagaceae. The record is from RefSeq and is a predicted model, not a curated record. The transcript is spliced from 3 exons.
UUUCCAAAACUGUUUGCAACAUGAAACAACUUUCUUAAAGCAACUCUCUCCUUCCCAAGCUCCAUAUAGUUAGUAUUAAAGUCAGACAAACAUGUGCACACUAUUGUUAGCCCAACCCAUUAAGUAGACUAAGAUGCUGGCCCAUAAAAUUGGUUCCCUUGGGCUAGUAAUUCGGUGCUGCAUCUUCUAAGACGGGAAAUGGAUUUGGACUGAAUAGUGAAUUGGAUCAAGCACACACGCGCGCAACCCACGCUCCUCCCCUCGAACCAACCGCUCCUUCCCCCAAAGCCAGUCACUCACCGGUCGCCGACCUUCUGGUUUUUCACAGGAGCUUAGCCGGUAGCGUCAUGGCUCCUAAGCGAGCUAUUACUGUUGACAAGGGCAAGACUCCAAAUGUGGAUAUAGUUGAAUCAUCAACUGAGGGAAGUGUGAUUAUGACACUUCCGACUAUCAAGAGAUUGAGUUGGAAUCUCAAGACGACUUGAUGCUCGACAAGAAUUGCUCCGGGUCGAGGAAGCGUGGUUCUUCUUCUAAGGGUAGUAAGAAGUGUUUCGUGCUUAGGUCAUAGGGACCACGAGCAUUGCCUUACACUCUUCAUACUGAGACCAUUCCUGAUACCGGUCUUCUUAGGAAUUUGGUGACACACCCAUCUCCUUGUGUUCGAUAUAGUAUGCGGAGCAAGUCCAUGGGUCGUGGGCGUAAAACAUGGGCCAAAUUCCACUGCUGUCUUAGAGGAGCUCACGAUCAGUACCGGAGCUUUCUAUACGACUUGGGCUUUGUGGGGGCUUUUUUUGUAUUGUUAGGCCUCAACCCCUUAUGUUGUGCUAUGGCCCGUUAGUCUGAGGUAAGAGAGUUGGGACUAGCCUUGCUUGGAUUGCACUUCAGGCCAGCUUGUGCACAAGUCAAGCUCACCCAAUGUAGACACAUCCUAACAUGAAUGCUGUGGGCUAAACGUAAGGUGUGGACACAACAAAUAUAACUAUUACAAGUGUUACGGCAAGAAUACACUACAACAAGAUAACUAUGAUAAUAAGACGUAUUAAAUAAAACUAACACUAUAAACAAA